RNAcentral lists this ribosomal RNA (301 nucleotides) under uncultured bacterium. RNAcentral describes it as "partial 16S ribosomal RNA". It matches the Rfam family "Bacterial small subunit ribosomal RNA", at positions 509 to 807 of the family's 1533-position model. The record is from RNAcentral.
CAGCAGCCGCGGUAAUACGGAAGGUCCGGGCGUUAUCCGGAUUUAUUGGGUUUAAAGGGAGCGUAGGCCGCCCCUUAAGCGUGUUGUGAAAUGCGGGUGCUCAACAUCCGACUUGCAGCGCGAACUGGGGGGCUUGAGUGCGCCGAAAGUAGGCGGAAUUCGUGGUGUAGCGGUGAAAUGCUUAGAUAUCACGAAGAACUCCGAUUGCGAAGGCAGCUUACUGUAGCGCAACUGACGCUGAUGCUCGAAAGCGUGGGGCGCAAACAGGAUUAGAUACCCCAGUAGUCCCUGUCUCUUAUAC